UACGGAGGGGGCUAGCGUUGUUCGGAAUUACUGGGCGUAAAGGGCUCGUAGGCGGCCAACUAAGUCAGACGUGAAAUCCCCAGGCUCAACCUGGGAACUGCGUCUGAUACUGGAUGGCUUGAAUUCGGGAGAGGGAUGCAGAAUUCCAGGUGUAGCGGUGAAAUGCGUAGAUAUCUGGAGGAAUACCGGUGGCGAAGGCGGCAUCCUGGACCGACAUUGACGCUGAUGAGCGAAAGCUAGGGGAGCAAACGGG
Molecule: ribosomal RNA, 253 nt
Filed under: uncultured bacterium
Lineage: Bacteria
Description: partial 16S ribosomal RNA
Rfam family: Bacterial small subunit ribosomal RNA
Source: RNAcentral